CGGAGGGGCUAGCGUUGUUCGGAAUCACUGGGCGUAAAGGGCGCGUAGCGGCCUAGCAAGUCAGGCGUGAAAUCCCGGGGCUUAACCCCGGAACUGCGCUUGAAACUGCAAGGCUUGAGUCUCGGAGAGGAUGGUGGAAUUCCCAGUGUAGAGGUGAAAUUCGUAGAUAUUAGGAGGAACACCGAUGGCGAAGGCAGCCAUCUGGACGAGUACUGACGCUGAGGCGCGAAAGCGUGGGGAGCAAACAGGAUUAGAUACCCUGGUAGUCCACGCCGUAAACGAUGCAUGCUAGAUGUUGGGACUUUCAGUUCCAGUGUCGUAGUUAACGCGUGAAGCAUGCCGCCUGGGAAGUACGGCCGCAAGGUUG
This 367-nucleotide ribosomal RNA is filed under the name uncultured organism. RNAcentral's name for it is "bacterial SSU rRNA". It matches the Rfam family "Bacterial small subunit ribosomal RNA", at positions 527 to 896 of the family's 1533-position model. The record is from RNAcentral.